CCGGCCGCAAGGGCAGAGAGUAGUUGACGAAUUCACGGGACAGCAAGCAUUGUCGUUAAUUUCAUUCUGUAUCGUAUCGAUUUUGAUAUUAAGUUCCAUUGAACAACAAAAACCCUAUACAGGAAUAAUUAGAAAGAAUGACGGAAUUCUUGGACCUGGAAGCUCAGGACGGCGUGAGAAUGCCGUGGAAUGUGCUCCCAGGCACCAAGCAAGAGGCCAGCAACUGUGUGGUCCCCGUCUCCGCCAUUUACACUCCGAUCAAACCCUUUCCUAACACGCCCGUCCUCCCUUACUCUCCCCUCCGUUGCCGUACUUGCCGCUCCGUGCUUAACCCUUUCUCCAUCGUUGAUUUUGCCGCCAAGAUCUGGAUCUGCCCCUUCUGCUUCCAACGCAACCACUUCCCACCUCACUACGCCUCCG
This 420-nucleotide unclassified non-coding RNA is filed under the name Hevea brasiliensis (rubber tree). Lineage: Eukaryota; Viridiplantae; Streptophyta; Magnoliopsida; Malpighiales; Euphorbiaceae. The record is from RNAcentral.